GGCUUAUCCAAGUCCAGUAAUGCUUACAACUAAUUUAUCACAACCAGUUACAGAUUUUUGUGCUUUUUUUAUCUCUGCUGUCACUGAUUCACUUGACUAGUAAAA
RNAcentral lists this non-coding RNA (105 nucleotides) under Rhinopithecus bieti (black snub-nosed monkey). Lineage: Eukaryota; Metazoa; Chordata; Mammalia; Primates; Cercopithecidae. The record is from RNAcentral.